AUUAAGAUCUUUCUAACAUAAUUAGUUCCUAAAGUGCCGGCUUCCAUCUCCUUUUUUACAAACACCGGAGGAACAGUUGGUUCAUCAAAGACGGCCUUCUUGGCUAUUACAUUUACAUCUGCCACUCUGUUUUGUUCUCUACACAUAUGAAAUAGUCUUUUUAUUUCCAGCUUCUUUAUUAAAUAUAUGUACUCAACAAACAGAUUAUCAUAGAGCAAAUUGUUAUGAUUUAUUAUGCAUACUACUACUUCAAUUGAGUCGAUAUUGAUUUCAAGAGGUUUAAGCUUAUGUUUUAUUGCUAAUAAGAGCCCUCUUCUCAGUGCUUGGAGGUGGGGUUGGUGAGAAGGGUGAGUUUGGUGAAGCCUAGAACCUAGCCCCAUGUGGUUUCUAAAGACCGUCUGAUCCAGAUUAUUUGUUUGUCACAGAGCCAUAUAUAUUGAGCUUGAAGUUUCUCAUAUCAGGUGAUUCCCAUUUGACAUGAAUGGUUGUUUUAGGGUCUUUAGCUUCUGUAAUCUUAGUUUUCAACAGUGGCCUGAUCUGGGAGUAUGUUGGGUGGUAAUGGUCUUUUCUUUUUUUUAUUGUUGAAGGUGUUACUCUUUCUUGUGAGCCAAAUGCUCCUAAGACAAAAGGAAUGAGAGCACCCCAAUUCAGUCAAGUAUUGAAUGUUUGUCUAGUUAUCUUUAUUGAUGGCACUCAUAUCAAUGAUUCUAGGAUCUAAUCUACUGGUCACCAUAAUAUUCAGAAGGUUAAGGCAUUUGUGCAUUGGAAGAAGAUGUGAUCUAUGUCUUCUUUGUAGAAGUCACAAAGGUGGCAUUUCGGAGUAACAUUCAUACCCUUAUUGUGGAAGGAAUAGUUUGUUAGAAUUCUACAAUAGUAUAGGAGCCAUAUGAAUGUUUUAACCUUAUUAAUUAGGGGUCCUUAAUUGACCAGAUCCAACUGAAUCUUUUGUUGGUUUCUUAUUGAUGUUUUUGAAGGCUUUCAUUGAUGUUGCUGUUGGAUGAACCAAUUGAGAAUAGGCCAUUACUAGUUACAAGAAUGUUCUCUUUAUUCUCACCAGGUGGAAAGGAGUAGUUGGUAAUGAUGUUUUUGAGGUUUUAAAGGAGGGAGAAGUAGAGUUUUCCAAAGUCCCAUUCUUCAUUUUCAUGAAUGUCUCUUAUCUUAAGGUGUUCCUCCUCUCUCAAGAUGGGUCCUUGGAUACUCAGUCGAAUAGCAUUUGAGUGUGUCUCCAAUGAAGUUGACUUUAUCUCUCUUAUGAACUAUCCAUAGCAUCAACACAUUCUGCCCAUCCCUUUUGGAUGUUGUUCCAGGUUCUGGACACAGUUUUACUAGAUUUGUUGUUAGUAUUGGGCAUGUGGUACUUGUAAAUCAGUACUUUUCUCCAGAGCUUAUGGGAUUUCGAUAAUUCUCCAUGCAGGCUAGCUAGGAUGGCUCUAUUCUUGAUUUCACUCUUUUGGAGCCCUAGGACAACAUUCUCUUUCUUGCUAGUAAUGGGAGCCUGGUGUAUUGCAUCACAUCUUAGGGGAUACUGCUGAGUGUGGACUUUAGGAGCACAUUCCUACCAGUCAUGUUGAGGAAUAUGACUUUCCAUCCGGCAAGUCUUUCUCAUGUUAUCAAUCAAGAAUUGGAAGUUGAUAAGUUAGAGAUUUUAGACUCAAUUGAGGCUUUUAGUUCACCAAAUAGUGUCCUCAAUGCCUUUUAUGUCCAUUUCUGAUAUAAAUUUGUUGAAUUGCAGCUAUGAAGAAUAAAAGACAAGUCAAAGACAAAAGAAUUAAAAGAGAACCCAAAAACUUAAAAAAACAAAGAAAAAAGGCAAAGUUAUAGCUCGCCAAGUGCAAAGGGCGACUCGCCAAACAAGCUGUAGCUCGCUGAAAAUGUCAAAGCAGAUCGACAAGGAAAUUAUUCUAAUGACGACUCACCAACAAUGUUGGUGAGCCUUGGUGUCUUCGCCGAAUUCAUCUGAGAGUUCUGCUACAAAUAAAAGUCAAUUUAGCGAGUAGUUAUUGAAGUGGCAACUCACUAAAUAGUAAUGUAGAACUCAAUCGAGCUCACCAAAGGUGUUCAACACAUGAAGCCUUGAAGCGAAGCUGAAAGGCGAGAAGAAGUGAUAGUUGACGACUCAUCGAGUGAGUCAGUGAGCCCGACUAAUGUCGCCGAAGUGACCUAGAAGUGCAAUUUUUGUCAAACUUUGGGAAGGUAUAAAAGGUUUUGAAGAGAAAGAAAAUGUAUCUUCCAUUGCUCAAAACUCACAGUACUUAGAACAUUCUUGGGACUUUGGGUUUUUGACUUUUUUACCCUUAGAAUUUUGAUGGUUUUGAAUUGGGUGUCUUUGAAUUGAAGCUUGAAUCAUCUUCAUUGAAUGGACUACAACUUCUUUGGUAUAAUUCAAUUAAGUUCUAGCAUAUGUAGUUAAA
Long non-coding RNA from Solanum tuberosum (potato), 2411 nucleotides. RefSeq lists it as uncharacterized. The transcript is spliced from 2 exons. Lineage: Eukaryota; Viridiplantae; Streptophyta; Magnoliopsida; Solanales; Solanaceae. The record is from RefSeq and is a predicted model, not a curated record.